This 218-nucleotide ribosomal RNA is filed under the name Escherichia coli. Its description in RNAcentral is "partial 16S ribosomal RNA". It matches the Rfam family "Bacterial small subunit ribosomal RNA", at positions 1 to 217 of the family's 1533-position model. Lineage: Bacteria; Pseudomonadati; Pseudomonadota; Gammaproteobacteria; Enterobacterales; Enterobacteriaceae. The record is from RNAcentral. RNAcentral also lists the same sequence under 1 other name.
AAAUUGAAGAGUUUGAUCAUGGCUCAGAUUGAACGCUGGCGGCAGGCCUAACACAUGCAAGUCGAACGGUAACAGGAAGCAGCUUGCUGCUUCGCUGACGAGUGGCGGACGGGUGAGUAAUGUCUGGGAAACUGCCUGAUGGAGGGGGAUAACUACUGGAAACGGUAGCUAAUACCGCAUAACGUCGCAAGACCAAAGAGGGGGACCUUCGGGCCUCU